This 253-nucleotide ribosomal RNA is filed under the name uncultured bacterium. Its description in RNAcentral is "partial 16S ribosomal RNA". It matches the Rfam family "Bacterial small subunit ribosomal RNA", at positions 524 to 776 of the family's 1533-position model. The record is from RNAcentral.
UACAGAGGGUGCGAGCGUUGUCCGGAAUCAUUGGGCGUAAAGAGCGCGUAGGCGGCCCUGUAAGUCCGCUGUGAAAGUCAAGGGCUCAACCCUUGGAUGCCGGUGGAUACUGCAGGGCUAGAGUCCGGAAGAGGCGAGUGGAAUUCCUGGUGUAGCGGUGAAAUGCGCAGAUAUCAGGAGGAACACCGAUGGCGAAGGCAGCUCGCUGGGACGGUACUGACGCUGAGGCGCGAAGGCGUGGGGAGCAAACAGG